RNAcentral lists this small nuclear RNA (301 nucleotides) under Chinchilla lanigera (long-tailed chinchilla). Its description in RNAcentral is "7SK RNA (ENSCLAG00000022132.1)". It matches the Rfam family "7SK RNA". Rfam says of the family: 7SK was discovered as an abundant small nuclear RNA in the mid-70s but a possible function has only recently been suggested. The record is from Rfam by way of RNAcentral. Lineage: Eukaryota; Metazoa; Chordata; Mammalia; Rodentia; Chinchillidae.
GGAUGUGAGUGUGAUCUGGCUGUGACAUCUGUCACCUCAUUGAUCGCCAGGGUUUAUUUGGAUCAUCCAGUUGGUUAGGCAGGUGACCCCUUCCUCCAUCACCACUUCAUCUGUGUCCUUUCCAAAGCUGCCUGCUCAAAGAAACAACCUUCCCCAAUAGAAGCGGACCAUUCUUCAGUCAAGGGUACAUGAGUAGCUAUCCUUCCCUGCUAGAACCUCCAAACAAGUUCUCAAGUGCAUGUGGGACAUUCUCCAGGAUAGAAUAGCUCUAUGCCAGGCCAUAAAGCAAACUUCAAUAAUU